UGGCGAACGGGUGAGUAACACGUGAGUAACCUGCCCUUGACUUUGGGAUAACUUCAGGAAACUGGGUCUAAUACCGGAUAGGAGCCAUCUUUAGUGUGGUGGUUGGAAAGUUUUUUCGGUGUAGGAUGAGCUCGCGGCCUAUCAGCUUGUUGGUGGGGUAAUGGCCUACCAAGGCGGCGACGGGUAGCCGGCCUGAGAGGGUGUACGGCCACAUUGGGACUGAGAUACGGCCCAG
Molecule: ribosomal RNA, 235 nt
Filed under: uncultured Corynebacterium sp.
Lineage: Bacteria; Bacillati; Actinomycetota; Actinomycetes; Mycobacteriales; Corynebacteriaceae
Description: partial 16S ribosomal RNA
Rfam family: Bacterial small subunit ribosomal RNA
Source: RNAcentral